RNAcentral lists this ribosomal RNA (450 nucleotides) under uncultured bacterium. Its description in RNAcentral is "bacterial SSU rRNA". It matches the Rfam family "Bacterial small subunit ribosomal RNA", at positions 355 to 796 of the family's 1533-position model. The record is from RNAcentral.
UGGGGAAUAUUGCGCAAUGGGCGAAAGCCUGACGCAGCGACGCCGCGUGAAGGAUGAAGGUCUUAGGAUUGUAAACUUCUGUUAAGUGGGAGGAAAGAACAAGCUUUAAUACAGCCUGGUGAUGACUGUACCAUUAAAGAAAGCACCGGCUAACUUCGUGCCAGCAGCCGCGGUAAUACGAAGGGUGCGAGCGUUAUUCGGAAUCAUUGGGCGUAAAGGGUGUGUAGGCGGCAUGAUAAGUCAAUUGUUAAAUACCCCAGCCUAACUGGGAAAAUGCAGUAGAUACUGUCUGUGCUAGAGAAUGGAAGAGAGAAGUGGAAUUCUUGGAGUAGCGGUAAAAUGCGUAGAUCUCAAGAGGAACACCGAUGGCGAAGGCAGCUUCUUGGUCCAUUUCUGACGCUAAUGCACGAAAGCGUGGGGAGCAAACAGGAUUAGAUACCCCUGUAGUCC